UACGGAGGGUGCGAGCGUUAAUCGGAAUUACUGGGCGUAAAGCGCGCGUAGGCGGUUUGUUAAGUCAGCUGUGAAAGCCCUGGGCUCAACCUGGGAACUGCAGUUGAUACUGGCCGACUAGAGUAUGAAAGAGGGAGGAAGAAUUCCAUGUGUAGCGGUGAAAUGCGUAGAUAUAUGGAGGAAUACCAGUGGCGAAGGCGGCCUCCUGGUUCAAUACUGACGCUGAGGUGCGAAAGCAUGGGGAGCGAACAGG
RNAcentral lists this ribosomal RNA (253 nucleotides) under uncultured bacterium. RNAcentral describes it as "partial 16S ribosomal RNA". It matches the Rfam family "Bacterial small subunit ribosomal RNA", at positions 524 to 776 of the family's 1533-position model. The record is from RNAcentral.